AAAAAAAAACCACUGUUUAAGACUUCUUCACACUUAAUCCUUUGGAUGUUGGAUGUGUUAUAACUGAUAAAUUAGUUAUAGAUCCAUGAUUUUUUAAUAUUUUUUUUUUGCUUUGAACUAGCUUUCAGUACUUGCGAUUACUCACAGAUCUUUGUUUAGAGUCUGUUUGUUUUUUUUGAUGUACAAGUACCCUCCCACGUUCGCUUUUUUUGUGUAAAAAAUAUUUGUAUUUGCAUUCACAUGAUGACUGAAGCCUUUUCAACUGAUUUUUAAGUCUUAUGUUGUUCCGUUACACCACUGUCACAGGUUAGGGGAGGAUUGGACACCAGGUAACAUGUUUAUCGUUGACACAUCCUGUAUUUGCCUAGGCCUGACACAAAUUAGAAGCCUGCAAUUCAGUGGUUGUGUUUUUCGUUUGUUUUUUUUUUUAAAUUUUUUUUUUUUGCCCAAAAAUAAGGCCAUUAGUUUACUUGUUUGAAUUGUGUUACAUUUGUCCUUUCGGGGCCUUUUAUAGCAGACUAUGUGAUAUGAGCAUUAAGGAGAGUCUCUUUACACUCGUAUCACAUUAUUUUUU
RNAcentral lists this long non-coding RNA (574 nucleotides) under Mytilus galloprovincialis (Mediterranean mussel). The record is from RNAcentral. Lineage: Eukaryota; Metazoa; Mollusca; Bivalvia; Mytilida; Mytilidae.